GGUUGUUUGGAUAGUGUGUUGGUGAAUAUAUAUGCAGUUUGAUCAGUUGAGUGAACAAAUGUAGUCACGAGCUUCUUGAGAACAGCAUCACGAACAAAAUGACAGUCCAUUUCGACAUGUUUAGUCCGUUUAUGAAAAAUUGGAUUUGCGGCAAUGUAGAUGGCUCAUUGAUUGUCACAAAACAUUUCCAUAGGUUUAGGAUGAGAGGAACUAAGUUCAAGCAAGAGAUUUCUUAACCACAUGAGUUCUCUAAUUGUAUGAGCCAUACCACGAUAUUCGGCUUCUGAGCAGGAACGAGCAAUUGUACUUUGCUUUUUUGCUUUUCCAAAUAACUAGAUUGCCACAUAAGAAGGUGCAAUAACCUGUAGUGGAACAUUUAUCUUCACGUGAGCCAGUCCAAUCAGCAUCAGUAAAGGCAGUGAGCUGACAAUGACCACUUUUUUUAUAAGUAAGCCCUUUUCCAGGGCAACUCUUCAGAUAUCUUAACAUCCAAUAUGCAGCUUCUUAAUGACAAACUUUGGGUGCAUCCAUAAACUGGCUCAGGACACUAAUAAUGAAUGAGAUAUCAGAUCGAGUCAUGGUAAGAUAGAUCAACUUGCCAAUCAGCCGUCUAUAGCAUGCACAGUCUCCAAACAAGUCACCCUCUUCAAUUGUCAGCUUAAGACUAGAGUCUCAACAUAAAGCAACAUAAAAUAACUAAAAUAACUAAGUCUCAACACUCUCAAGCUGGAGUAUAUAGAUCUUGCAGAUCCAGCUUGAAGCAACAACUCUGCGAGGGUUGUUUGAAUAGUGUGUUGGUGAAUAUAUAUGCAGUUUGAUCAGUUGAGUGAACAAAUGUAGUCACGAGCUUCUUGAGAACAGCAUCACGAACAAAAUGAUAGUCCAUUUCGACAUGUUUAGUCCGUUUAUGAAAAAUUGGAUUUGCGGCAAUGUAGAUGGCUCAUUGAUUGUCACAAAACAUUUCCAUAGGUUUAGGAUGAGAGGAACUAAGUUCAAGCAAGAGAUUUCUUAACCACAUGAGUUCUCUAAUUGUAUGAGCCAUACCACGAUAUUCGGCUUCUGAGC
This 1065-nucleotide long non-coding RNA is filed under the name Elaeis guineensis (African oil palm). Its description in RNAcentral is "long non-coding RNA (EGUI_LNC051057)". Lineage: Eukaryota; Viridiplantae; Streptophyta; Magnoliopsida; Arecales; Arecaceae. The record is from RNAcentral.